RNAcentral lists this non-coding RNA (29 nucleotides) under Rattus norvegicus (Norway rat). The record is from RNAcentral. Lineage: Eukaryota; Metazoa; Chordata; Mammalia; Rodentia; Muridae.
CUGUCUUAGGUGGAGCACUGGGACUCAAA